GCCUCCAUACGUCAACUGGAUAGACGACCGGCCUUCGAAGUCGGUGGUUGAUGGGUUCGAAUCCCUCUGGGGGCUCCA
RNAcentral lists this transfer RNA (78 nucleotides) under Pseudomonas nitroreducens. RNAcentral describes it as "tRNA-Arg". It matches the Rfam family "tRNA". From Rfam's summary of the family: Transfer RNA (tRNA) molecules are approximately 80 nucleotides in length. Their secondary structure includes four short double-helical elements and three loops (D, anti-codon, and T loops). The record is from RNAcentral. Lineage: Bacteria; Pseudomonadati; Pseudomonadota; Gammaproteobacteria; Pseudomonadales; Pseudomonadaceae.